Molecule: ribosomal RNA, 586 nt
Filed under: uncultured bacterium
Lineage: Bacteria
Description: partial 16S ribosomal RNA
Rfam family: Bacterial small subunit ribosomal RNA
Source: RNAcentral
UGGGGAAUUUUGGACAAUGGGCGAAAGCCUGAUCCAGCAAUGCCGCGUGUGUGAAGAAGGCCUUCGGGUUGUAAAGCACUUUUGUCCGGAAAGAAAUCCUUGGCUCUAAUACAGUCGGGGGAUGACGGUACCGGAAGAAUAAGCACCGGCUAACUACGUGCCAGCAGCCGCGGUAAUACGUAGGGUGCAAGCGUUAAUCGGAAUUACUGGGCGUAAAGCGUGCGCAGGCGGUUUGCUAAGACCGAUGUGAAAUCCCCGGGCUCAACCUGGGAACUGCAUUGGUGACUGGCAGGCUAGAGUAUGGCAGAGGGGGGUAGAAUUCCACGUGUAGCAGUGAAAUGCGUAGAGAUGUGGAGGAAUACCGAUGGCGAAGGCAGCCCCCUGGGCCAAUACUGACACUCAUGCACGAAAGCGUGGGGGAGCAAACAGGAUUAGAUACCCUGGUAGUCCACGCCCUAAACGAUGUCAACUAGUUGUUGGGGAUUCAUUUCCUUAGUAACGUAGCUAACGCGUGAAGUUGACCGCCUGGGGAGUACGGUCGCAAGAUUAAAACUCAAAUGAAUUGACGGGGUCAUAGCUGUUUCCU